Molecule: ribosomal RNA, 251 nt
Filed under: uncultured Desulfobulbus sp.
Lineage: Bacteria; Pseudomonadati; Thermodesulfobacteriota; Desulfobulbia; Desulfobulbales; Desulfobulbaceae
Description: partial 16S ribosomal RNA
Rfam family: Bacterial small subunit ribosomal RNA
Source: RNAcentral
CGUAGGCACUCUAGCAGACUGCCGGUGAUAAACCGGAGGAAGUGGGGAUGACGUCAAGUCCUCAUGGCCUUUAUGGCCAGGGCUACACACGUACUACAAUGGCCGGUACAAAGGGCAGCGACAUUGCGAGAUGGAGCGAAUCCCGAAAAGCCGGUCUCAGUCCGGAUUGGAGUCUGCAACUCGACUCCAUGAAGUUGGAAUCGCUAGUAAUCGUGGAUCAGCAUGCCACGGUGAAUACGUUCCCGGGCCUU